Molecule: long non-coding RNA, 205 nt
Organism: Sapajus apella (tufted capuchin)
Lineage: Eukaryota; Metazoa; Chordata; Mammalia; Primates; Cebidae
Exons: 2
Source: RefSeq, a predicted model, not a curated record
GCCAAAGCAAAAUCUGUCCCCUUGUGUGAUCUCUGCACUAAUCAAUUAUUUGGAAAAGAACUGCCAGCUCAUAUGUUAUGAUUUUUAGAAAAGUGUCAGUCUGAGCGCAGUGGCUCAUGCCCAUAAUCCUGGCACUUAUGGAGGACAAGGCGGCUUGAGCCUGGGAGUUUGAGACCAGCCUGGGCAACACGGCAAGGCCGCAUCU